CCUACGGGAGGCAGCAGUGAGGAAUAUUGGGCAAUGGGCGCAAGCCUGACCCAGCAAAGCCGCGUGCAGGAAGAAGGCCCUCGGGUUGUAAAAUUCUUUUUUCAGGGACGUAAAAAAUGACGGUACCUCCUGAUUAAGCCACUGCUAACUGCGUGCCAGCCGCCGCGGUCAUAUGUAGGUGGCACGCGUUAGCCGGAUUUACGGGGGGUAACGGGCGUGUAGGGGGGAUAUUAAGUCAGACGUGAAAUUCCAGGGCUCAACCCUGGAACUGCGUUUGAAACUGGUGGUCUUGAGUGAUGGAGAGGCAGGCGGAAUUCCGGGUGUAGCGGUGAAAUGCUUAGAUAGUGCGCAGAACUCCGAUUGCGAAGGCAGCAGACCGGCGGGGAACUGACGCUGAGGCACGAAAGCGUGGGUAUCGAACAGGAUUAGAUACCCGAGUAGUC
RNAcentral lists this ribosomal RNA (443 nucleotides) under uncultured bacterium. RNAcentral's name for it is "partial 16S ribosomal RNA". It matches the Rfam family "Bacterial small subunit ribosomal RNA", at positions 338 to 795 of the family's 1533-position model. The record is from RNAcentral.